UACGGGGGGGAGCAAGCGUUGUUCGGAUUUACUGGGCGUAAAGGGCGCGUAGGCGGCCACCGCAAGUCGACUGUGAAAUCUCCGGGCUUAACCCGGAAAGGUCAACUGAUACUGUGCGACUAGAGUGCGGAAGGGGCAACUGGAAUUCUCGGUGUAGCGGUGAAAUGCGUAGAUAUCGAGAGGAACACCUGCGGCGAAGGCGGGUUGCUGGGCCGACACUGACGCUGAGGCGCGAAAGCCAGGGGAGCGAACGGG
Molecule: ribosomal RNA, 255 nt
Filed under: uncultured bacterium
Lineage: Bacteria
Description: partial 16S ribosomal RNA
Rfam family: Bacterial small subunit ribosomal RNA
Source: RNAcentral